This 379-nucleotide ribosomal RNA is filed under the name Nothogalepsus sp. MN174. Its description in RNAcentral is "partial 12S ribosomal RNA". The record is from RNAcentral. Lineage: Eukaryota; Metazoa; Arthropoda; Insecta; Mantodea; Eremiaphilidae.
AUACCCUAUUAUUUUUAAUGUAAAAUGAAUUAAAUCUGAGUAUUAAUAGUUAUGUUCUUAAAACUUAAAGAAUUUGGCGGUAUUAUAGUCUGUUUAGAGGAAUCUGUUAUGUAAUUGAUAAUCCACACUGAACCUUACUUAUAUUAUAAUUUUUGUAUACCGCUGUUUGUUGAAUAUACUAUUAGGUGAAUUUUCUGGAUAUGAUAAUAAAUAGGAUUUCAAGUCAAGGUGCAGUAAUAUAUAAGUUGAAUAAUGGAUUACAAUAAGUUUUAUUUAUUACGGAUUGUCAUAUUAAAAUUGAUUAUGAAGGUGGAUUUAAUUGUAAUUUUAUGUAGAUUAUUAAAAUGAUUAUAAGCUCUAUAAUAUGUACACAUCGCCC